Molecule: ribosomal RNA, 253 nt
Filed under: uncultured bacterium
Lineage: Bacteria
Description: partial 16S ribosomal RNA
Rfam family: Bacterial small subunit ribosomal RNA
Source: RNAcentral
UACGUAGGGUGCUAGCGUUGUUCGGAAUUAUUGGGCGUAAAGCGCGUGUAGGCUGUUAGAUAAGUCGGAUGUGAAAGCCCUCGGCUCAACCGGGGAAGUGCAUUCGAAACUGACUAACUAGAGAAUGGUAGAGGAAGGUGGAAUUCCCGGUGUAGAGGUGAAAUUCGUAGAGAUCGGGAGGAGUACCUGCGGCGAAGGCGGCCUUCUGGGCCAUUUCUGACGCUGAGACGCUAAAGCGUGGGUAGCAAACAGG